GCAAGGUGGACCAAUCCUUAAAGCCGGUCUCAGUUCGGAUUGCAGGCUGCAACUCGCCUGCUGAGUCGGAUUGCUAGUAAUCGCGGAUCAGCAUGCCGCGGUGAUACGUUCCCGGGUCUUGUACACACCGCCCGUCACACCACGAGAGUUUGCAACACCCGAAGUCGGUGGGGUAACCGCAAGGAGCCAGCCGCCGAAGUGGGGUAGAUGAUUGGGGUGAAGUCGUAACAAGGUAGCCGUAUCGGAAGGUGCGGCUGGAUCACCUCCUA
RNAcentral lists this ribosomal RNA (269 nucleotides) under uncultured Paenibacillus sp. RNAcentral describes it as "partial 16S ribosomal RNA". It matches the Rfam family "Bacterial small subunit ribosomal RNA", at positions 1257 to 1532 of the family's 1533-position model. Lineage: Bacteria; Bacillati; Bacillota; Bacilli; Caryophanales; Paenibacillaceae. The record is from RNAcentral.